CGCUCUUGCCAACUAAACAUAGGAGGUCCCGCCUGCCCUGUGACUAUGGGUUUAACGGCCGCGGUAUUUUAACCGUGCGAAGGUAGCGCAAUCACUUGUCUUUUAAAUGAAGACCUGUAUGAAUGGCAUCACGAGGGCUUAGCUGUCUCCUUUUUCAAGUCAAUGAAAUUGAUCUGCCCGUGCAGAAGCGGACAUAAAUACAUAAGACGAGAAGACCCUAUGGAGCUUUAGACACUAGGCAGACCCUGUUAAGUAACCCUAUAUUAACGGGUAAAACAAAGCGGCCCCUGGCCCACAUGUCUUCGGUUGGGGCGACCAUGGGGGAAAAUAAAGCCCCCACGAGGACUGAGGAUAAUACCCUUAUAAGCAUGAGCUACAGCUCUAAGCAUCAGAACUUCUGACCAAAAUGAUCCGACAUAGUCGAUCAACGAACCAAGUUACCCUAGGGAUAACAGCGCAAUCCUCUCCCAGAGUCCCUAUCGACGAGGGGGUUUACGACCUCGAUGUUGGAUCAGGACAUCCUAAUGGUGCAGCCGCUAUUAAGGGUUCGUUUGUUCAACGAUUA
Molecule: ribosomal RNA, 565 nt
Filed under: Dallia pectoralis (Alaska blackfish)
Lineage: Eukaryota; Metazoa; Chordata; Actinopteri; Esociformes; Umbridae
Description: partial 16S ribosomal RNA
Rfam family: Bacterial large subunit ribosomal RNA
Source: RNAcentral